AAUAUUUUCAUAACCUUUCGAUAAAUUUUUACUUUCGACCUCAAAUUUAUUUUUUCAAAAAAUGGCUGACACGGCAAAAUUUUCAAGUGAAAUUCUCGAGUAUCACAAUCGAUAUCGAAGUCAACAUGAGUCACCGGAUCUGGCAAUCGAUGAUCGAUUGAAUAAAUUUGCUCAAGAGUGGGCCGAAGAUUUGGCAAAGCGAGAUAUAUUUGAGCGGAGGCCAAACAAUUCUUACGGUGAGAAUCUUUAUGUUGCUACAAGUAAAAAUAUAAAUUGGGAAAUGCUACCCGAGGAAGUUGUUAAGUCAUGGUACAAUGAGAUAAAGUUUUACAAGUUUGAUGAGCCGUCUGCAGAUAAUUUAACGGAAGUAGGUCACUUUACACAACUUGUAUGGAACAAUACCGAGACAAUGGGAUUAGGAAUUGGUAUAAGUGAAUCUAAAAAGAUCUAUAUCGUGUGUAAUUACAAUCCUCCUGGUAAUAUUAAAGGCCAAUUUAAGGAUAACGUACGACGUGCCAAAAAUCAUACCGAGAGACCAGAGACAAAUAAUAAUAGUAGAGCUAGUGUUCACAAAGACUCAGAAAAUGAGAUGCCGGUGGAUUUUGUCCCGAGUCCAUCAUUGGAACAGCUCGGGAUAGACCCCAGGAUGCAACCAAAACCUGAAAUGUCAUUGAGGAUGAGAAAAUUAUUUGGAAUCUCUUCAAAUAAAAUAACUGAGUGGAUAAGUUGGUUAAUUAAAAUAAUUGACAAAGCGAAACAGUAUGAAAAAUAUUUACGUCAAGGUCUUGAAGUAAUAAAGACAUUAAUAGAAGCAGUACAGUACAUAAAGAGAAAAAAAGAAUUAGAUCAUGCAUUUCUUCAAGGAAAUCAAGUUUUACUUCCAGGUAGAAGACCUAUUGAAGAAUUGGCAAUCGGAAAAGUAAAAAAAAAAAAAGAGAGACCGAAGCGAAAGUACGAGAUCAAUAAACCAUCAAAAGUACGAAAGCCAAAUAAAAUGAAAAGUGAUAACAAAAUAUCAAUGAGGCUUUUACAAAGAGAAGAGUCAGUGUUAAAUGAGAGCCAAAGGAAGAUAAUCGAUAAACCACAAUGGCGUCACUUAACAAAUGAUACGACAGAAGAAAAAGAUUCAAGUCAAGUGAAAGAUGUUAUGGAAACAUCAAAGAAAAUUUCCUGCCCGAUUGGAGUAACUUGGACGCCGAAAGAAUUCAAAAAGAAGGACAAAAAAACAGAGACAGAGACAGAGGCGGAGGACCGCGGGGAGGGUGCCAGAGAAAACUUUCCAGAAGUUCAAACUUGCUCAUUGCCGAUUAAGAGCAAAGAAGAAUUUGAGGAAUUAUUAAAGAGACUUAAAGAUGAGGCAGCUAUUUAUCAUUCGCUUUGUGGACGCUGGAAGAAAAUUAACGAACAGAUGGUCAAGCAAAUAAUUGACCGAACGGUUUUCCCCCCAGACGAGUUGUUCGAAGACACAGAAGUACUUCGCUACCGAUCUUAUAACGCAAAUUCAAUGCUAACUGAUGACUGGAGUCUCGAUUUGAGUGAUAAUGAGCCCUCAUUACAAGAUCAGACACAUCGAGAGCUAUUGAUUCACGACAAUAAGAGCAAAUUAUACUUCAACUUACAGUAAAAUCACUCGAUAAAGGAACUCGAGCAUUGCAAUGUAGGGCAGAGCUGUAUCAGGAACCGUCCAGGACUUUUUCUAGUUUAUUUUUGAGGUGGACUUUUUUUAAUGUCAGACCCGAUAGCAUUGAGAUCGAAGCGACAUCGAAAGAGUCGUUUGAUCCGCGUGGGAAUAAACUUUCCGUUGUACAGGAACUCGUUCUUAAAGUUAUAUUUUAUACCCUCUAGCCUCUUAAAUCCAAAAGAAUGAGUUCAUUUUAUUUAGUUUUUACUUAAAUUUUUUUCGUAACAUUAUUUAUUUAUUUAACUUCUAUCGGUAGUACUUGGCUUCAAUAAACCGUUGGCAUGAAACUCUAAAAACCCUUGGAAAUGUAAUUGUCGAGAACGCUUUUGAUCGAUCCACUCAAUUCUAUUCCUUCUAAUUAACUCUUUCGAAUGAGAAAGAAAUAAGUAUAUAUAUAUAUUUAUAUUGAGUGGAUGGUAUACUUGCUCUAGGUCUCGCUUUAUUCCGAUUACUUUUAUAUCUCUAUUAUAUAUUUUUAUUUAAUAAAAUUUUAAAUAUUUUUCUCUUUAAACUAUUCGAAAAUUUUCAAAUUUACGUUUCAGAAAAUAUAAAGUUAUAAAAUAGAAGCAUAAAAAAAUUGUACCCAGUAGGGUGGCCCAAAAAAACCGACUAUUUUUUUUUUCGAGUCUCUAAUGAAAAUUUGUUAGUUUAAGAUGUUUUAAGAAGCCUCUCCAAAAAUCAGCUCGAUAAAAAAUUUUCAAGAGGUCGCUCACGAAUUUUGAAAAUAUAAAAAAUAAUCGAAAUUAGGAUUUUUUGUUUCUGAAUUUUUUCUUCCUCGUGGCAGCAAUAUUUUAUAUCUGUAAAAUUAUGACUAUGCUGAAAAUUUCAGCUCAAUAUUUAAAUAUUUAAACGGCGCUCAAGAAUUUUGAAUAUUAACUGAUAAUAUGUAACUAAUACUUUGAAUUAGUUUUUGUAUUUUUUUAUAACUCAAUUACUGUCAUUUCACUUAAAUAUAACUUUUGCAUAACCGAAAAUAUACAGGACAGUCUUAAACAAUAAAAUUGGGUAAGUUUUGAAUAAGCAAAAAAACCCAAAAAUUGAAUUAAAAAAUAAAAAAGUAUGUAAAUAACUUAUUAUUUAUAUUUCUCGGGUUGUAUUUUUAUUCAUUAUGAUACAAAUUGAUGGUAAAAAAAUUGAGAAGGUUUAUUAUUAAUAUUCAAGGGUCGCUCGAAAACAUCCAAGAGACAGUACUCGGAAACAUUCAAAAUUCUUGAGCGACGUUUAAAUAUUUUAAUUUUGAGCUGAAAUUUUCAGGGUAGUCAUGAUUUCAUAAAUAUAAACUAUAGCUGCCACGAGAAAGAAGAAAUUUAGAACAAAAAAAUCCUAAUUUCGAUCAUUUUUGAUAUUUUCAAAAUUCGUGAGCGACCUCUUGAAAAUUUUUUGUCGAGCUGAUUUUUGGAGAGGCGUCUUGAAACAUCUUAAACCAAAAAAUUUUCAUUAGAGACUCGAAAAAAAAAUAGUCGGUUUUUUGGGCCACCCUAGUACCCAGUGAUCAAAAGCUACAAAAAAUAAAUGCCGGCUUAAGGGGGUCGUGUUCCAGCCUCCCCCAUAGAAUCAUUAAUUAAAAAAAACUUUGAAAACAUUAAAAUUAAUCCAGAGAAAUCGGUAGAGAUCUGAAUCCAAAUGAAUAAAUUUCCCGGCAAUUUGACUUGAGCUGCUGAUAAAAAGUUGUUUAUUGGUUUUUAUCUUUAUAUCGCACUAUAUAUUAAGUAACUUUUCUAUUCUUCCGUUGUAUCCUAGUUUUUUUGACUAAGAAAAUAUAACUUGAGUCAUUGGAUAUUUUUGUAUGGAGAUUUGUAGUCGUUUUGUGGUUUCCGAUAGUUGCGAUAAAUUUUCUAGUCUUUCGUAUUUAUAAGCUUGUAGGUGUGUUGUCUGUAUGUGUGUGUACUGGAAACUUUGUUCCCUUGUCCCAUUUCAGUCAGCCAGAGCUUUUGUGUAUGUCUAAUGCUGCGCAUCUGCUUUGUUUGAAGCUCAUAAACACACGGGGAAAACUUUUCACGCUUUAUAAAUAAAUUUUAUAUAUAUUUUAUUUGUUUCGGCAAUAUUUUUCUUACAUUCUAUUUUAAACAACUCUAUUUUGUAAACUAUUGUUCUAUAACUUUUUUAUUUUUUAUCAAAAAUACUUCGAUACAAAAAAAUACAAUAGC
Molecule: RNA transcript, 3828 nt
Organism: Microplitis mediator
Lineage: Eukaryota; Metazoa; Arthropoda; Insecta; Hymenoptera; Braconidae
Exons: 11
Source: RefSeq, a predicted model, not a curated record